GUGAAUACCCGAGCACAUUUCUCUGUUGGCAUAUAGCUCAGAUCCAGGCUAAUAGCAAUGCCUUCUCUUUAAAAGGUUUUAAGUUAUAUAAUGUGGGCAGUUCCUCGCUUGUUUUGGAUCCACCUGGAAAUCAGCAGCUCCCUGAUUGCCACCACCAGCAUCUGCCUGGGUGCAGUUGUGCUGUACAGCUUCAGGUUACAAAGAGAGCUGAAACUUCCAGACAUAUGGUGCUCGAUUCCCAACUGGUAAUUGCAUCAACUUAGGAUCAAUGGAGUGGAAUAAUAUCUGCCCACUAAUAACAGUCUAAUAAAAUUAAUAGCAUUGGCUAUGCCAUGAAUUACUUUAAAGUAGGGAUUGGAGGAUAGUAACGUAAACAAGCAUUGAUUUUCCUCAGGGAAAUGGACUGCUGUGUCUCCUCAGAGCAGGCUUUUGGAGGGCUGCGCUGCUGCUGUGGCAGUGCCUUUGCUCCUUGCGGGGUCACUGAAUGUCCACCACUUUAUUUGUGCUGUUCCCAUCGAACAUCAUGCUUGUGUGUUUGCAGCAUCCUGCUGCUGCUGGCUUUCUCAAAGCCCUGGGGAGCAAAGCUCUCUGACAUGCACAGCCCAUGCAUCACAUCUUGGUGAGCAGAGGCUGCGAGGCCAUGCUGAGGUUGCUGACGUGUCCUUCUGCAGUGUGCAGGGAGUCACUUAUCUCCCUCCUGAACACCGCGUUUUAAAGACAGCCUGCUUUAUUUUUAGCUUUUAAUGUGGUGUAAUUUUGAGCUGCUGCAUUCAAGCAGAUGGACAUUUGGUGUCCGGAUAGACAACACAACAUAAAGUAACAAUCAUCUGGUUCCUCUCCAUCUGGAUUUGCCAAACAAAUCAUUAUAGCGAAACUCCUUCAGAGAGGAGACUGAGCUCAUUGGCACCAACAUGCCAUAAGCGACAGAAGACGCCCGACUCCACACAAUACAUCCAUCCCAAUCCCCUGCUGGAAAUCAGGGAGGUUAAAAAUAAAAACCCUUUGAGUUUUGACUGUUUACACAGCUGUAGCAUAAAUAUUUAGAUUUGCGAUAGAAACGCUUGCUCAGCCAAAACCCUUCCCAGAUCUCUGCAGUCAGCAGCGGGGCUUUAUAGAGGCCUGGCGUUUCCUUGGAAAACUGAAACUGAUGAUAAUGAAAGCCGAGAGCAACGUCCAUCUGUGGUGCCGCAGCACCAGGGACACGGGUGACACUCACCAAGGGACACCGGGCAUGGGUACGGACACGGGGCCACGGGCAGCAGCCCCAGAUGCAUCCUCCAUCCUCCUGGCACCACCUCGUGGCCUGGGCCGUGUCGGCUCCUUCCAUCUCUUCACCUGCUGAAAGCCACGGAGAGGAUUUCCCACCCGGCAAACCGUCGCUUUAGGAGCACCGUAAGGUUUCGUAGGGUCUGCUCUGAGACUGCCACAGGGCUCCUUGGACUGAAAAUUCAGCUCCUAGGAAUAAGUAAGAAAAGGAAAAGGACUUCCCACUGAUAUUUGGUGUUUUGGGUCCUGUUGUUUCAAAUGUUUCAGUUUGGCGGCGCACUCUGGGACCCCACCUGUUCUGGGAUGAGCACGGGCAGGCCGCAGCAUGGAUAAAGCUUUUUCCCACCCCCAUCAUCACUUGCUGUCAGCGACGUUCUCAGAUGUGGGACCUUAAACUAGGCUGGCAGAGCAGGUAGCAAAACCAACACCACGAGCACCUGAGACAUCUCCAGCCCUCCAGGUUGGCCUGGGAAAUUGUGAGUGACAAGAACUGGCGCAAUUAGGCCCGGUCAUCCCAGGUUAUCACCAGCAUCCUACAACCCUGCUGCUCCGUCCUCUCCUUCCCCCAGAACUUUGCUCUCUCAUUAAUCGAAACAAACUUUCUGUCACUGCUGAUUGCAUUACCCGGUAUCAGCUGCCUGGAAGGAUGAAAAUAAAAGCUGGGAAGCGUGCUCCUUCUGUCCAAAUAGAGAGGUGCCAAGGAGUGUAAUAUAAUCAGGCCAUGAUCAAAUUAAGUGGAAGAGACUGCACCGUGCCCACAAAAUAUCUGUCCCCGUGAUUAAUUUGAGGUUUGGUCCCUGUUUGCUGAUGCGAUUGGAGGUCCCUGCAAUGUGGGAGAGGCUGGGAGACCACAGCCGGGGCUUGGAGAGGUGUCCCCACUGCACCUCCCCAUCAAAGUGCCCAAACUGCCUCUCCAGCAAAGGAAAAGGCCUCAGGGCAGCUGAGCCUCACAGCCGGGCUGCAUCCUGCACAGAGCUUUCCUCCUUUGGGACAGCAGGAAGUGAAGAAGAGCAGAUGAGGGACAAAAGGAAAAGCUCGCUGUGAGCUUGGAAGGAAAAUCCACACAGCAUUUAUAUUGGAGGGAAGAAAAUGAGGAUUUACGGCUGUGGAAAGACUUGAGGCAGGGCCCCAGCACUGAGCACACCUCGAAUCAUGAUGGAUCUCCCAGCUGCUGCAGCUAAUG
This is a long non-coding RNA of Gallus gallus (chicken), 2449 nucleotides long. The record is from Ensembl. NCBI's taxonomy places the organism in Eukaryota, Metazoa, Chordata, Aves, Galliformes, Phasianidae.